RNAcentral lists this ribosomal RNA (2097 nucleotides) under Triticum aestivum (bread wheat). RNAcentral's name for it is "partial small subunit ribosomal RNA". Lineage: Eukaryota; Viridiplantae; Streptophyta; Magnoliopsida; Poales; Poaceae. The record is from RNAcentral.
AUGGACAUCUCGUCGUUCGUGACGUCGCUUCUGACGUCCUUCGUCAUCUUCGUCGUGCUGGUCCUGGUCUUCACGUGGCUCUCGCGCCGCCCGGGGAACGCGCCGGUGUACUACCCGAGCGUGCUGUUGCGGGGGCUCGACCCGUGGGAGGGGCGCGGACGGGGCACGCGCAGCCCCGUCGGCUGGAUCCGCCAAGCGUUCACGGCGUCCGAGGCCGACGUCGUUGCCGCCGGCGGAGUCGACGCCGCCGUCUACCUCGUCUUCCUCUCAUCCGUGUUGGCAAUCCUUGUGGUCUCUGGAAUUGUGUUGCUUCCACUUCUGUUACCGCUUGCUGCAACUGAUCAUGCCCUGGAGAAUUCUGCUGGCUUCAAAAAUGGCAAAGAGGCGCAGAACUUCACGAUUAUUGAAAGAUUAGCAUUGGGCAAUGUUCAAAAAAAAAGUAUGAGGCUGUGGGCAUUCAUAUUAUCAGUCUACUGGGUCUCCUUUGUCACCUAUCUCGUACUAUGGAAAUCCUACAAACAUGUUUCGAAUCUGAGAGCAGCUGCAAGAUCAACAUCAGAUGUUAAACCAGAGGAGUUUGCCGUGUUGGUGAGAGAUGUUCCUAUACCGCCUCCUGAUCAAACUAUAAAGGACUCGGUGGACUCAUAUUUCCGAGUACUUCAUCCUGACACAUUCUACAAAGCAAUGGUUGUGACAGACAAUAAGGAGGCUGAUAAAAUUUUCCAAGAGAUUGAAGGUCACAAACACAAAAUUGCUCACGCAGAAGCUGUCUAUGCAGAGUCAAAAAAAGGAAACAAACCUGAGGGCACCAAGCCUACUCAUAGGACUGGAUUGCUUGGUCUUAUUGGUAAAAAAGUUGACACAAUGGAGUAUUGUAAUGGGGAGAUCAAGGAAUUACUGCCCAAACUGGAGGCUGAACAGAAGAGCACUCUUCAUGAUAAACAGCAACGUGCUGCCAUUGUCUUCUUCAACAGCAGAGCUGCUGCAGCCUCUGCAUCUCAGACUCUUCAUGCUCAGCUGUUUGAUAAAUGGACAGUCACAGAAGCUCCUGAACCACGUGAUAUGAUAUGGUCCAACCUUCCGAAGAAAAUAUAUGAGAGGCACACCAGACAGACUGUGGUUUAUUUCAUUGUCUUUCUCACAGUCUUUUUCUAUACUAUUCCUAUUACUGCUGUCUCUGCUGUCACGACGCUGGAAAAACUGAGGGAGAAGCUGCCCUUUCUGAAGGUGGUGGUGGACCAACAAUCAGAAGGGAUCCCUUCACAGAGCCAUGUAGUCAGGGCAGCGUCAGGAAAAUAUUUCUACUUCAUUAUCUUCAAUGUCUUCCUUGGCUUUACAAUUAGCUCCUCAUUGUUCAGUGCCUUGAAAACCAUCGUUGAUAACCCUCCUGGGAUUAUUGUGAUGCUAGGCAACAGCCUUCCUGGAAGUGCAACUUUCUUCCUCUCAUUCGUUGCACUGAAAUUCUUUGUUGGUUAUGGGCUUGAGCUCUCUCGCUUGGUCCCUCUCAUCAUUUUCCACUUGAAAAAGAAGUACCUAUGCAAGACUGAGGAUGAAGUGCGGGCAGCGUGGAGUCCAGGGGACUUGGGGUAUAACACCAGGGUUCCAAGUGACAUGCUGAUUGUUACAAUUGUGCUGUGCUACUCCGUCAUUGCACCUUUGAUUAUUCCAUUCGGUGUUGCUUACUUUGCUCUUGGAUGGCUUAUAGCAAAAAACCAGGUUUUGAGAGUCUAUGUUCCUAGUUACGAGAGCAAUGGGCGAAUGUGGCCGCACAUCCACACGAGGGUCAUUGCGGCUCUAAUGAUUUACCAGGCCACCAUGAUUGGUGUCAUCAUACUGAAACUUUUCUUCUAUUCGGCUAUCCUUUUCCCGCUCAUCCCAAUAAGUUUAAUCUUCGCCUACACUUGCCACACACGCUUCUAUCCUGCAUUUGCCAAAACCCCUCUUGAGGUGGCAAGCCAGGAGCUCAAAGAGACACCGAACAUGGGUGCCAUCUACAGUGCAUACAUCCCUCUUUGCCUGAAGCCUGAAAAGCUCGAAGAUGUGGACGUAUUCGAAGAUGCUCAAUCGCGCACUACCUCGAGAGCACCAUCCUUUUAA